AUUGAACGCUGGCGGCAGGCCUAACACAUGCAAGUCGAACGGAUGAAGGGAGCUUGCUCCUGGAUUCAGCGGCGGACGGGUGAGUAAUGCCUAUGAAUCUGCCUGGUAGUGGGUGAUAACGUCCUGAAACGGGCGCUAAUACCGCAUACUUCCUGAUGGAGAAAGUUGGGGAUCUUCGGACCUCACGCUAUCAGAUGAGCCUAGGUCGGAUUAGCUAGUUGGUGGGGUAAAGGCCUACCAAGGCGACGAUCCGUAACUGGUCUGAGAGGAUGAUCAGUCACACUGGAACUGAGACACGGUCCAGACUCCUACGGGAGGCAGCAGUGGGGAAUAGUGGACAAUGGGCGGAAGCCUGAUCCAGCCAUGCCGAGUGUGUGAAGAAGGUCUUCGGAUUGUAAAGCACUUUAAGUUGGGAGGAAGGGCAGUAAGUUAAUACCUUGCUGUUUUGACGUUACCAACAGAAUAAGCACCGGCUAACUUCGUG
RNAcentral lists this ribosomal RNA (484 nucleotides) under uncultured bacterium. Its description in RNAcentral is "partial 16S ribosomal RNA". It matches the Rfam family "Bacterial small subunit ribosomal RNA", at positions 30 to 507 of the family's 1533-position model. The record is from RNAcentral.